Molecule: ribosomal RNA, 499 nt
Filed under: uncultured Glomeromycotina
Lineage: Eukaryota; Fungi; Glomeromycota
Description: partial small subunit ribosomal RNA
Rfam family: Eukaryotic small subunit ribosomal RNA
Source: RNAcentral
CCAAUAGCGUAUAUUAAAGUUGUUGCAGUUAAAAAGCUCGUAGUUGAAUUUCGAGAUCAAAUUGUUGGUCGUGCCUUGGUACGUACUGGCAUUAUUGGUUUCUCCCUUCUGACGAACCAAGAUGUCAUUAAUUUGGUGUCUUGGGGAAUCAGGACUGUUACCUUGAAAAAAUUAGAGUGUUUAAAGCAGGCCCGCGCUUGAAUACAUUAGCAUGGAAUAAUGAAAUAGGACGUUUGAUUCUAUUUUGUUGGUUUCUAGGAUCGACGUAAUGAUUAAUAGGGAUAGUUGGGGGCAUUAGUAUUCAAUUGUCAGAGGUGAAAUUCUUGGAUUUAUUGAAGACUAACUACUGCGAAAGCAUUUGCCAAGGAUGUUUUCAUUAAUCAAGAACGAAAGUUAGGGGAUCGAAGACGAUCAGAUACCGUCGUAGUCUUAACCAUAAACUAUGCCGACUAGGGAUCGGAUGAUGUUAAUUUUUUAAUGACUCAUUCGGCGCCUUACG